ACGACCUUACUUGAACAGGAUCUGUUCUAUAGGUUGUACAUCUGUGUCCUUGAGUUCUAAGGAGACAAGAACCAAAGUCUGGUGGAUGAAUUGCUGCCCUGUGGCUAGAGCGUGAUUAACGGUUCGACAGAUCUCGGUCUGGCGGCUGUGGAGGAUCGUUCUUGGCAGGCUUCCAACCUGCUGGGAUGGCCACAAGGCGGUCUGACAGACU
This is a small nucleolar RNA of Cucumis sativus (cucumber), 211 nucleotides long. RefSeq annotates it as small nucleolar RNA U3. The record is from RefSeq and is a predicted model, not a curated record. The transcript has a single exon. Lineage: Eukaryota; Viridiplantae; Streptophyta; Magnoliopsida; Cucurbitales; Cucurbitaceae.